Molecule: ribosomal RNA, 321 nt
Filed under: Vibrio parahaemolyticus
Lineage: Bacteria; Pseudomonadati; Pseudomonadota; Gammaproteobacteria; Vibrionales; Vibrionaceae
Description: partial 23S ribosomal RNA
Rfam family: Bacterial large subunit ribosomal RNA
Source: RNAcentral
AGAUUGGUCCCUAUCUGCCGUGGGCGUUGGAAGAUUGAAGGGGGCUGCUCCUAGUACGAGAGGACCGGAGUGGACGAACCUCUGGUGUUCGGGUUGUGUCGCCAGACGCAUUGCCCGGUAGCUAAGUUCGGAAUCGAUAACCGCUGAAAGCAUCUAAGCGGGAAGCGAGCCCUGAGAUGAGUCUUCCCUGAUACUUUAAGUAUCCUAAAGGGUUGUCGGAGACUACGACGUUGAUAGGUCAGGUGUGUAAGUGCUGUGAGGCAUUGAGCUAACUGAUACUAAUUGCCCGUGAGGCUUAACCAUACAACACCCAAGGGGUUU